This 326-nucleotide ribosomal RNA is filed under the name uncultured eukaryote. RNAcentral describes it as "partial 18S ribosomal RNA". It matches the Rfam family "Eukaryotic small subunit ribosomal RNA", at positions 1470 to 1796 of the family's 1831-position model. The record is from RNAcentral.
CCCUUAGAUGUUCUGGGCCGCACGCGCGCUACACUGACGAAGUCAGCGAGCAUGUCCUACGCCGACAGGUGCGGGGAAUCUUGUCAAACUUCGUCGUGAUGGGGAUUGAUUUUUGAAAUUCUUGAUCAUAAACGAGGAAUACCUUGUAGGCGCAUGUCAUCAUCAUGCGCCGAAUACGUCCCUGCCCUUUGUACACACCGCCCGUCGCUCCUACCGAUUGAGUGAUCCGGUGAGGCUCUGGGACCUGGACGGAAAGAGCGUUUCGCUUGUUCUGUUUGGGAAACUUGGUCGAACCUUAUCAUUUAGAGGAAGGAGAAGUCGUAACA